This is a long non-coding RNA of Homo sapiens (human), 1319 nucleotides long. Ensembl annotates it as long intergenic non-protein coding RNA 2831. The record is from Ensembl. NCBI's taxonomy places the organism in Eukaryota, Metazoa, Chordata, Mammalia, Primates, Hominidae.
AGUUGAGAAGCAAUGCUGUUUCACCUCCCUGAGAGAAUUGCCUUGUUUGUGAAAUACUACAGAAAAACCUGUAUUUUCUCCAGAAAAUGAAAGGUCUUGGCCUGAGUAAAUCAAGGCAGAAAACUCACCCCCGUGAAAGCUGCAGCUCUGAGAGUGUGUGGGCAGGGCUUCAACAGAAUACCUGUGGCUGCACUUACAAAAGGCAGCCAGAAGGACCCGUCCAUUCUGGAAAGUACCUUUAGUCUGAAAGCAUUUAUUGCAGAAAAAAUAUGAGGCUUGCUGGUAGUAUUCCCAGGUGACAAAUGUGCACCCAACACCCUACAGAAAAGAAGAACCAUAAAAUAAUUAAUUAUUCCAUUGUAACUCCUGCCUGGAAAACAUCUGAAAGAAGUCACUAGAUUCAGCCCACAUUCAAGAUGAGAAAUACCAGAAGGCAGAGAACACUGAGGCUGUUUUAGAGGCUGUCAACCCCAGGGAGACAGACAGCAAAUAAGAUGCUUGGAUGUUUUCACACCACUCUGACACAUGGAUGGAAGGUUAGAAGACAACAAAGGAAUGGGCUGGGAAGGACUCCAAAAGCAGAAUCAGAGAUUAUAUCAUUCCUUGGAAAUGGAGAAAAGGAUCAAAAAAGCUGAAUAAAAGGCAAACAUGGAGGAACAGAGUUUGGAGCAAUACCCUGACUUACAUUCAGUACUGUUAAUGGCUCCAGCAUCUUGAAACAAACCAAUUUUGGAUUUUCAGUUUAAUUGUUAUUCUUGAGAAGUCGGCUCUCAGCUGGAAUAUCAUUCCUUUGAAGGUCAUCUCAAUACUGUCUUAACACAUCUGAUCUGAGGUGUAGACCAUUCAAAAGGCAAAGUGAGCAGUCUAUUCUCACUCCUGGAUUCUUCAUUAAAAUAUUAUAUUCCCAGCAUUUCUGUGUCAAAAGUAUUGACUUUGUGCACUACAGAGACCAGCACUACUGGCAUGCUGCAGCAUGUGAUUACCACGUUGACUUCCAGAGCCACAUCCAGCUGGGAACUCAGAAGGAACUAGGCGUGGGGAUGAGGAAUCUAUUCUCUGCAACAAAAGCCUAGAUCAACUCUAUCAAUCAUUAAUAAUAGACAAAGGAUCAUGUUAACGAAGGAUAACACAGAACUCUAAGAAGUCACUUGGUGAAUCUCUUCUGAUCCUAAAGAGGACUGGAUGGAGGAACCACCUGGUGGAGUGAGAAGAGAACAGACAUUCAUCUUCUUGCCAGCAACCUUGCCAGUGACCUUGAACAACUGCAUUUUAAAUGAUUGUUUUAAGAAUAAAAUGAGACAGUCCAGGUAAAACACCAA